Molecule: ribosomal RNA, 468 nt
Filed under: uncultured bacterium
Lineage: Bacteria
Description: partial 16S ribosomal RNA
Rfam family: Bacterial small subunit ribosomal RNA
Source: RNAcentral
GACGAACGCUGGCGGCGUGCUUAACACAUGCAAGUCGAACGGAAAGGCCCUGCUUUUGUGGGGUGCUCGAGUGGCGAACGGGUGAGUAACACGUGAGUAACCUGCCCUUGACUUUGGGAUAACUUCAGGAAACUGGGGCUAAUACCGGAUAGGAGCUCCUGCUGCAUGGUGGGGGUUGGAAAGGUUCGGCGGUUGGGGAUGGACUCGCGGCUUAUCAGCUUGUUGGUGUGGUAGUGGCUUACCAAGGCUUUGACGGGUAGCCGGCCUGAGAGGGUGACCGGCCACAUUGGGACUGAGAUACGGCCAAGACUCCGACGGGAGGCAGCAGUGGGGAAUAUUGCACAAUGGGCGGAAGCCUGAUGCAGCAACGCCGCGUGCGGGAUGACGGCCUUCGGGUUGUAAACCGCUUUCGCCUGUGACGAAGCGUGAGUGACGGUAAUGGGUAAAGAAGCACCGGCUAACUACGUG